Molecule: long non-coding RNA, 209 nt
Organism: Dermochelys coriacea (leatherback sea turtle)
Lineage: Eukaryota; Metazoa; Chordata; Testudines; Dermochelyidae
Exons: 3
Source: RefSeq, a predicted model, not a curated record
AGGUGCUGAACAGUUGAAGCAGAUGAAAGCCAAGGACACAGCCAGAAAGGCAAGAAUCUAUGCUGCCACCUCUUCCUUAACCAGCAUUAUGGGUGAGGCCCAACAACUGGUUGAAGGCUCAGGAUGUGUGGUUGAGUCACUCAUUUUACUUUGGAUCUGCAAAGAUGCUCCACUGUGCUAUGCAAGUAAUAAAAUUUAAUUUAUUUUCC